Molecule: ribosomal RNA, 364 nt
Filed under: uncultured bacterium
Lineage: Bacteria
Description: bacterial SSU rRNA
Rfam family: Bacterial small subunit ribosomal RNA
Source: RNAcentral
AUUGAACGCUGGCGGCAUGCCUUACACAUGCAAGUCGAACGGUAACGCGGGGCAACCUGGCGACGAGUGGCGAACGGGUGAGUAAUACAUCGGAACGUGCCCAGUAGUGGGGGAUAGCCCGGCGAAAGCCGGAUUAAUACCGCAUACGACCUAUGGGUGAAAGCGGGGGAUCGCAAGACCUCGCGCUAUUGGAGCGGCCGAUGUCAGAUUAGGUAGUUGGUGGGGUAAAAGCCUACCAAGCCGACGAUCUGUAGCUGGUCUGAGAGGACGACCAGCCACACUGGGACUGAGACACGGCCCAGACUCCUACGGGAGGCAGCAGUGGGGAAUUUUGGACAAUGGGCGCAAGCCUGAUCCAGCCAUG